Molecule: RNA transcript, 2257 nt
Organism: Musa acuminata subsp. malaccensis (wild Malaysian banana)
Lineage: Eukaryota; Viridiplantae; Streptophyta; Magnoliopsida; Zingiberales; Musaceae
Gene name: protein FLOURY ENDOSPERM 6, chloroplastic-like
Source: RefSeq, a predicted model, not a curated record
CCCUCCGUCCCCAUCUAAUUCCCUCCUCAAGGAAAAGGACCAAUCAAGGAUCUUUCCCUUGUCCGCAACCCGAACAAAUCCUCUCGCUUCUCCCUCCUUAUCUACAGCAAUUACCACCUCCACCUUCUUUUUCGUCCUUCCCCUCUGCGGGCACUGCCAUUGAUACGCUCUUCUUCUUCUUUCGUUGAGUCCCCCCGCCUUCUUUGUGCUUUCUGUCAUUCGUUAUUCCUCUUGAUUUUGGUCCGUUUUGCUUCGCUUGAUACGGAAGCAAGCAAGAAAGGCGCGCCUCUUUGUGGAGGAAUCGCCCUCUUUUAAUAUCUCUCCUCCUCCUACUCCAAAGCUCGCGGACUGGGGAGAUGUGGCGGUAUGUCCUCCUCUUCUUUUUCGUUCGUUUCCCCCUCCUCGUUCCUCAUCUCCCUCCCCGCACCAAGAUUGCCCCCUCCAUUUCAUCCCAAGGUCGAUUCUCUGUCGUCCUUCGACCCGUCGAGUGCUAGAAUCCGUAUUGGGAGGAGGAGUAGGAAAGGGAUCUUCCUUAAGGCGAGGGAGGAGGAGCAGGAGGAUGUGUUUGCGAUGGGGCCGAGGUUUAUGGAUGUGGAGGCCGAGAUUUAUGAGUUCAUGCGGAAGUCCGACAAGCCGAUGGACUUCCCGACCAGGAGAGAGCUCGUCGCCGCCGGGAGGGCGGACUUGGCGGAGGCGGUGGCCGCGCAGGGCGGCUGGCUCGCCAUGGGGUGGGAUCUUGAUGGCGACGAGGUGAUAGACGUUGGGACGGAAUCGAGGAGUGGAGUCGGUCAAGAAGAUGGUAGAAUCUGUCAAGAAAGGGUUUCUUGUGGUUCUUUGAUGAGCGAUGUUGUAGGUACACUGGCCGCCGAAGACAAUACGGCUGCCCCAUCUUCUUCGGGGAGAUCAUUGGAGACGGAGAACGUGGAGGAUGAUGGCAUCGAUGGGAUCUUGAGCAGGCUGGAGAAAGAGAGGGGCUUGUCUUUUGUUAUGGGUUCGAGAGAGAAAGCGGUGUAUGAUAAGAACUCCUGGAGGGAUGCUGUCCAUGAUCCAGGAGAUACAACAUUAGUUUCCCACAAGUUGGCUCUCUGUAGUAAUGAUAGAAAUAGCAGAUCUGAGUCUGUAGAAUCAGAAAAUAUAUUUUUACACCAUUCUGGUGGUGUUUACUCCCAAAAUGGGGCAUCAAAAGAUGUCAACAUCACAAAAAGUUCAACACCAGACAUGUGGAGGAGUUGGAGCCUUAAAAGAGCAGGCUUUUCCAUAAAAGAGUUUGAAGCUGCUGAAAUUGUUCCGACUGAUGACAGAAAGACACUAGAAGCUGACCCUUUAGAUGCUGAAUAUAGGAGUGUGCAUAAACAAACUCGGAACUCAUUUAAUUCUGAUAACGGAAUAAAUGAACCGGCUGCUGACAAAAGUCAGAUACAGUUACGUCUCCAGCACCUGGAGGCAGAUCUUAGCUCUGCUCUUCAACUAGCUAGAUCUAGAGCUGGUGCUGUUUCACAAAAGCACCAAAAAAACUCAACAGAUGAGCUACAUAGCCUUUGUGAUGCAUGGGAAUUUCAAGAGACUGAGAUAAUGAAUGCCCGAAAUAAGUUGCGGUCUAUUCGAGCAAAAUUGGCAGUUUUAGAAGGAAAGAUAUCAUUUGAGAUUAUGGAAGCACGAAAACGAACAGAAGAGAAACAAAACAGAAUUGAUUCUGCCCAAAAUGCUUUACUACUACUCCAUACUACUAAUAUAGUUUGGCCUAAUUCUGCUUCAGAAGUUCUACUUGCAGGGUCUUUUGAUGGGUGGACUGGUCAGAGAAGGAUGGAAAGGUCAAGUUCAGGUGUCUUCUCUCUGCAGCUAAAAUUGUACCCUGGCCGAUACGAGAUCAAGUUCAUUGUGGAUGGUGUGUGGAAAGUCGAUCCGCUGCGCCCCAUCGUGCGCAACAGUGGUCAUGAGAACAACCUCCUUAUCGUCAAAUGAUGGUACACAGCCCAAGAGCAGAGAAAUGCUUGGGCAAUGUUGUUUGGGUGGAACCUCCUCCAGUUCAGAUGGCGGCAUUUCAAUCCAAGAACUGGCCAUCCACUGGGGCAGUGCACAUAACGAUGAGAGCUGCUGAACUUGCAACGCUAGAGGAUCUCAGAGACCAAGGAGCUCUUCCCAGUUUCAUGCUUACCCGUCUGAAGCCAAGAAUUAGAAACAUUCUUUUGACAUGAGAAACGUUUGUUUUGUGUGCCCCUUUUUUUCACAGAAAUAUACACCUAUAUGUUUGUUGAUA